Molecule: transfer RNA, 94 nt
Filed under: Anaerolineaceae bacterium
Lineage: Bacteria; Bacillati; Chloroflexota; Anaerolineae; Anaerolineales; Anaerolineaceae
Also listed under: 2 other names
Description: tRNA-Sec
Rfam family: Selenocysteine transfer RNA
Source: RNAcentral
GGGAGUGGUUAGGUCCCGGUGGGCUUCCCGGUCUUCAAAAUCGGUGGCGGGUUGUUAUGCAGGCCGCGGUGGGUUCGACUCCCAUCCAUUCCCG